This 512-nucleotide long non-coding RNA is filed under the name Aedes aegypti (yellow fever mosquito). Its description in RNAcentral is "lncRNA AAEL027183". Lineage: Eukaryota; Metazoa; Arthropoda; Insecta; Diptera; Culicidae. The record is from RNAcentral.
GAUUCUCCGUGCUAGUCGCUGUUAUCGCAGUUUGUGGCACAUAAUGUGUUAUUCAAUGACAGGACGUGUCAGUUUUUUGCAAAUUUUGAAACCCAUCACAACCGUUUCCAACAGAGAACAUGAAACUAUUACCUAUUAUAUUGCUGUUAGCAACCAGCGUGUCGCUGGUGCAUGCAAUCCAGGGCUUGGGCGACGUGAGUUUGGUGACUUCCAGAUGUACAUACUUCACGCCACUAAGGGACCAUUUUUCGAGGCGCAGAAUAUAUCGUUGACGUUCGAUUAUCAAGUCAAUCCAAUUGACACCAUUGAGGUGACUUUCGUUGACAUCAACACUUCUUUGGAGAAUCAAUGUGUGACAACUUUUCCCGGAACACAAGUUCUUGCAAGAGGCUUCGAAAUCACUGUGACAACUUUAAACCCUGUCCUCGAAUUUUCUGGAACAGCAACUGUUUUUGGAAUACGUAGAUUGUGAAAAUGUAAAAUGCGAUUAAAUUUUUCGUGAGAACAUGUUA